This 1408-nucleotide long non-coding RNA is filed under the name Physcomitrium patens. Its description in RNAcentral is "long non-coding RNA (PPAT_LNC014565)". The record is from RNAcentral. Lineage: Eukaryota; Viridiplantae; Streptophyta; Bryopsida; Funariales; Funariaceae.
UCCACCAAUACAUCGACGGACUGAGGAUUGGUUAAGGACAAGCUACUAGCUCUAUUGCUAAAACCGGUGAUGUCAUAAAAUCGAGAGAGGAUGUUGUAUUCUAGCUUCAAUUUUGCCCACGGAUCAAGCAUAGAAGGAUGCCCUAAUUGUUACAUCCUCCAAACAUAUUCCCCUCCCUCAUCAACGUUGGGUUCUAAAUAUUCCAGAUGUUCAUGUGGAUAUGUCUGAAGGUGUACAUUCCGCUGCCGUGGCUUGUCAUCUUUCCAACAAAGGGCUCCAGGUGAGAAGCCAAUCAGGCCAGUACUGUCUGACUCCGGUGCUCUCCUUGUCAAACACUGCACAUCGAAGUCUUCAAAUAUGACCAUACUUGGCUCAUGGAACUACGUACAGGGCCAAAAGCUCCUUCCGUGGCCUCUUUCACUCCCUGCACGCGUUUCUUCGCAACCCUCUACCUCUGUUUCCUGCUUGGCUAAAAGCUCCGUUCUAGUGAAACUCAAAGCAUGCUAGGAUACAACGUAGACGACAAAAGAUGCAGGUUGGUUUGAGCGUUUCCAGAAUUGUCACCGUUAGGACGGAUCUCGCAGCACUGGAAGAGUAUCUCGACUGACGUCGGCCGUGAAGCUCAGCAUGUCGUCCGACUGCAAAACCGCGGUCAUCUGGGUGUUUCGUUGGCUGUUGCAGAUUCCGGACCCCGACGACGCACCUUCGCCGGAUUGCCACCGCAAUGCCACUAGAGCGAAAUCAACCCCUGCCGAUACCGGAGCACAAAUGUUGUCUAGGAUCUGACCACGCCGGCUGCGAUCCACGCGGAGAACAAUACAUUUAGCUGAUGAGCAAUCCUUUAGCUCUUGAUUCUUCAAUUGCGCUUGUGUGUGGUCAGUGCCGAAGUCAGCCGCAAACAGCUUGUUUGCAACCCUUUAAUCUACCAUUUUUGUUAAUGUUUUUCGAUGCCUAGUUCUAGCAAAGAAAGAUGAAAAGCAGUGUUGCCGCAUAGCUAACUUGAAUUGAUGUCUUCACUCAUUCUUUCUGCAACCAACAGGAAGCAAAGCUGGAGAACUGUGUAGGAUUAUGAGGAGAACAGAGAAUCUUGUGUGAUGCUUUUUGAUUUCUAGUCGUCGUUGCAAUUGCCGUCGUCUUUCAGGCUACAAUCAUUCUGUGAGGAUGCUUGGUUGUGUAGACACCCUCUUUUGUUUUGUAAUCAGAAUUUUUCAAUCUCUAUCGGGGAGAAUGGGCAUUUCUGUUAGGUUUUUGCUUCUGUAACACUCUUUCGGCUAUUACAAUCUCAUGUAAUAUAAACAUAUUUGGUACAAAAAAUUCAAUUUCAACCAUGUGGUGUUUUUCAAAAGUCUUCCACAUCCAUAAAAUUUCAAAACUGUUGUUUGGUAUUAGGUAAUUCUUUAAAUAUUAU